Molecule: ribosomal RNA, 1439 nt
Filed under: uncultured organism
Description: SSU rRNA
Rfam family: Bacterial small subunit ribosomal RNA
Source: RNAcentral
CGCUAGCUACAGGCUUAACACAUGCAAGUCGAGGGGCAGCAUUUCAGUUUGCUUGCAAACUGGAGAUGGCGACCGGCGCACGGGUGAGUAACACGUAUCCAACCUGCCGAUAACUCGGGGAUAGCCUUUCGAAAGAAAGAUUAAUACCCGAUGGUAUAAUCAGACCGCAUGGUCUUGUUAUUAAAGAAUUUCGGUUAUCGAUGGGGAUGCGUUCCAUUAGGCAGUUGGUGAGGUAACGGCUCACCAAACCUUCGAUGGAUAGGGGUUCUGAGAGGAAGGUCCCCCACAUUGGAACUGAGACACGGUCCAAACUCCUACGGGAGGCAGCAGUGAGGAAUAUUGGUCAAUGGGCGCAGGCCUGAACCAGCCAAGUAGCGUGAAGGAUGACUGCCCUAUGGGUUGUAAACUUCUUUUAUAUGGGAAUAAAGUUUUCCACGUGUGGAAUUUUGUAUGUACCAUAUGAAUAAGGAUCGGCUAACUCCGUGCCAGCAGCCGCGGUAAUACGGAGGAUCCGAGCGUUAUCCGGAUUUAUUGGGUUUAAAGGGAGCGUAGGUGGACAGUUAAGUCAGUUGUGAAAGUUUGCGGCUCAACCGUAAAAUUGCAGUUGAUACUGGCUGUCUUGAGUACAGUAGAGGUGGGCGGAAUUCGUGGUGUAGCGGUGAAAUGCUUAGAUAUCACGAAGAACUCCGAUUGCGAAGGCAGCUCACUGGACUGCAACUGACACUGAUGCUCGAAAGUGUGGGUAUCAAACAGAAUUAGAUACCCUGGUAGUCCACACAGUAAACGAUGAAUACUCGCUGUUUGCGAUAUACAGUAAGCGGCCAAGCGAAAGCAUUAAGUAUUCCACCUGGGGAGUACGCCGGCAACGGUGAAACUCAAAGGAAUUGACGGGGGCCCGCACAAGCGGAGGAACAUGUGGUUUAAUUCGAUGAUACGCGAGGAACCUUACCCGGGCUUAAAUUGCAUUUGAAUAUAUUGGAAACAGUAUAGCCGUAAGGCAAAUGUGAAGGUGCUGCAUGGUUGUCGUCAGCUCGUGCCGUGAGGUGUCGGCUUAAGUGCCAUAACGAGCGCAACCCUUAUCUUUAGUUACUAACAGGUCAUGCUGAGGACUCUAGAGAGACUGCCGUCGUAAGAUGUGAGGAAGGUGGGGAUGACGUCAAAUCAGCACGGCCCUUACGUCCGGGGCUACACACGUGUUACAAUGGGGGGUACAGAAGGCAGCUACCUGGUGACAGGAUGCUAAUCCCAAAAGCCUCUCUCAGUUCGGAUCGAAGUCUGCAACCCGACUUCGUGAAGCUGGAUUCGCUAGUAAUCGCGCAUCAGCCAUGGCGCGGUGAAUACGUUCCCGGGCCUUGUACACACCGCCCGUCAAGCCAUGAAAGCCGGGGGUACCUGAAGUACGUAACCGCAAGGAGCGUCCUAGGGUAAAACUGGUAAAA